CCACCAACCAUCAGCCAACCAGCCGGGGAGGAGCAGAGAGCCACGGGCAGAGGCGAAGCGCGCCAAUGCGUGGGAACGCGGAGGAGGCGGGACUUGGAGGGAGGAAGCGCCCGAGUAACAUUAAACCACUGUGGAGUGAAACAAUAGUGCGAUUCUUCGUGAGGCGUGACCGUCCUCCCGCACACGCUGUAACCCUGGAUGAGGAAGGGUCGUGUUACUGAAGGAGGAACCAUCAGCGUCACCUCACAAUCCCGUGGCUCCAACAAGAAAACAGGAGGCUUCUCAGUGACGCUGACACAGUCUGACUUGUUUCCAUCUUCAGAGGAUGUGCUCCUUUCUUCUCCGCUGGUUCUCCAUCCUUACAUCAAAUACUGCAAGAGAUUCCUGAUCACUUUGAGAUUACGUACCUACAUUUAUCUACAAACUCUUUGAACUUAUUCAUACCAACAUCAGUGUGGAGGUGUUGGCAUGAACAUAAACUGUGUAACGUCUUUUCUCCUAUCAUCACUAAACUCGGAAAAUAUGUCGAAUUAUAAAAUAUUUGAUUGUUACAAUGACGAUAUGCUCAACUGAUGCCAGCUAGUGCAGGUUUUGAUUUUCAGACCAGAGAAAAUGAAAACACUCACGAGUUUAUGAUCCUCAACAAUCCACCUCAGGAGUUUUGAGAAAUAAAGCCUGGUGGCGUAUUUGUAUUAUUGACCAAAUCCCCACGACUAAACUAAACUCCGCACUCGCUGCCCCGACGUCUUCAGUGUGCUCAGAUAAAAUACAGCCACAGUUUAGUGUAGAGAGAGUUGUGGAGCAGAACGUUUUCAAGAUAAAAAACAAAAAACAAACAAAAAAAAACAACUGUGAUUGACGGGUGUCAGAAACAAAGAUUAGCUUACGCUGAGUUGCCAGUUCAUUAGGUACGUCUUGCUGCAGUCUAACAGACCAGCUUUGUAAUGAAUCCAUAGUGACGUUUAGUUUUUGUUGAAACAAAGGUGUUGACUGAAGUUCCCUGGCAUCAUGUUGAUGCAGGUAGUUUGUGUUGCACAUGAAAAGCUUCAUUAACUGAUUUAGUUUGGAACAUUUACUUGAAUGAGUUCAUUCAUUUGUGUUUAAGCUCAUAUAAAUGUAUUCAACAUGUUUGUUUCCUAAAGAAUCACUGUGUAAUUGCUAUUCUUUAUUCUUUGUAUACAAAAGUCUCUAAGAUCUAAGUCACAAAUUGAAAGUGUGUUUUUCUCAGAAAUCCAAACAGUGUAACUUUAACGUCAGCUCUGUACAUUUUCUCUUGGAGACGGCUGCUCAGUGAUCGAUCAUGCAUCUCUUAACUGCACAGCUUGUUAUUUAGAGUCUCCACAGAUACCUCUCAUGACCUUAUAAAUGCAAGGAGUUUCUUAUACAUCCUUUCUGGCGUUUUGUUUCCCCAUUUAGUGACAAACGGUGACAUAACAGACACUGAUUUAGAGAAACAUCUUCCUGAUUGCAGGAAUCUCUGGUAAUAUGAUUUAAAAAUAUAUUUAAAAAAACACAUUUUCUCUGAGCAUUAUAAUCUUGACAGGAUUUACUGCAGGGCUGAUGUGUUACACUGCAUUAAACCGUGCGUACCUGAUAAACCGACAGCUGAGUGUAUGUGUUGCAGACUCCAGGCGAGUCCAGGAAUGAACCAAACAUUAGUACAACCGUGUCCUCUUGUUUAAGCAAAAAGAAUUUGGUUUAUGUAGAAACAAGCAAUGUUUUGCAAUCUGAUAUUUCCCUCUCCUUCAAAAGAGUUAAAGCUAAAAUGAAAGAAAAAAAAGAAAAAAGUAAUGAAUACCCACACCCACCCGCCCUCAUUGCACCCAGAACUGCCACCUUCUGAAAACGUUUGCAGGCGUUACUGACAGAAAGCAAAGAAACCCUGGGUGACAGCUCACAAGGGAGAUAGAUAUAAGUGUACAGCACAUAUAUAUAUAAAAUAUAAUAUCUGAAAUAAUGUAUAUGUAUAUAUAUAUAUCACAUAUAUAUACAUAUACAUGUAUUAAAUUGUGUUAGGGUUCAGUAUCUGUCACUCCACAGCAUUAAGUUGGUGUGUCUGAUUAUUUUUCUUCCUUCAUUUUUUUUUUUUCAAAUCCUUAUUAUAUAGACCAGAGGAGAGUCAAAGCAAAACAAAUGAAUCAACGAACAAACAAAUGUGGGGAGGGGAGGGGGGACUAAGCAACAGACGAAAGGCCUCCGCCUCUAUCUGAUGUCCCCGUCUCCCCGGCGCCCCCCCACCCUCACCCCCGCCCAGUGGAGGGGUGAGCUCGCCCAGACGAGGUGGGACAGACCCGUCCAGCUGUACAGCGCAGUUAAACAUAACUUACAUAUUAGCUCUCUCUUUUUUUUUUUUUUUUUUUUUUUUUUACACGUACAGUCGUGAUCAAGGCACAGGGAUCUUCUACAAGUUAUUUUUUUUUUCUUCAAUAAAGUUGUACAAAAUAAUACAUUUUACAGUCUGUACAAGAAUAAUAGUCCAGCAGUAAAAUAAAAGACAGACGUACUUAAAGCCGGGGUGGGGGAGGAAGUACGAGAGGUGAGAGGACAAGACGAGAGGUAAAAAGGGGAGAGGGUGGUUGUUGUUGUUGUUGUUGUUGUGUGGAUAAGGAGGGGGAUCGACGAGAGCUAGAGCGCGUGUGUGUGUGUGCGCGUGUUAGUGUGUCUGUGUGUGCUCCCAGGUAAAAGUGUUGCGUCCAGUCUCGACAAGUCCUUAACGUCAUGCUUCCUUUUUGAUUUUUUUUUUUCAUCUCCUCGUUAAAUAAACCCUCUCCUUUUAUUUCCCACAUGUUGAAUAGUUGUUAUAGCAGCAGGGGCAAGAGGGGCAUAUAUUGGUGUGUGUGUGUGUGUGUGUGUGUGUAGAGAUGAGGGGAGGGCAGGGGCCUAAAUGGUGCACAAAGGCAGAUCACGCACACAGUGUACACCGACACACAACAUAGGGAAAAAAACAAAAACUUAAAAGUUGAAUUGUGUUAUUACAGGAAUAUAUAAUAUUUAUAUUUAUAUAUAUACAUAUUUAUAUACACACAUAUAUAAAUAUCUAUAUAUAUAUAGCUUGGAUUUUUUGCACUGCAUUAAGUUCACUGGUAUGCAUGAAGUUAUGCAUUGUAUAUUUUUUUUAAUCCUUUUUUUUUGUCGUUCUCUGCCAUCCCUCCUUUCGUGAAGAGCAGGUCAUGUGAGCCAUGUGGUCUUAUGUUCGAGUCACGCUCACGUCCACAGGCAGCCAUUAGUCAAUUAGUCCGUCUCUCCGCUCCUCCAGGGGCGCAAAAAAUAAAAAGGCUUACAGCCCCUGCUCUGUGUCAGUUUGCUGCCCUCCGUGUCCCUUCUCUCUCUCUUUCUUCUUCUUCUUCUCUGCCUUCCUUCGUCGUCAGCACGCGGUGAAUAAACUCCCCUCUCUCUCAGAAUGAAAUUCACUUCAGCCUCUGCUGCCGACUGUGAAAAGCAGGUUUUUAAAACGACCAUUAUGCAUAUGUGUGUGUGUGUGACUGCGAUAUUAAAACCCACCUAUGGGUCUGAACGUCUUAUUAUCCGUAGUAGUGUGUGUACCUGCGAGUAUCUGUGUGUGGAUAUAUAUCUGAGAGAGAGCUAAAAGGAGAGAUCGUCUACACUGAGGGAUUCCAGUCCCGACCCUCUGUCCCGGGUCAAAGUGUAGCUGGAGUACAGUCGUCUGUCCAGGUCCAGAAUAAUAGUUGAUCAAACUGUUGUUGGUGUAGCCGUCAUUUUUU
This is a long non-coding RNA of Mugil cephalus (flathead mullet), 3722 nucleotides long. RefSeq lists it as uncharacterized. The record is from RefSeq and is a predicted model, not a curated record. Lineage: Eukaryota; Metazoa; Chordata; Actinopteri; Mugiliformes; Mugilidae. The transcript has 2 exons.